RNAcentral lists this ribosomal RNA (486 nucleotides) under uncultured bacterium. RNAcentral describes it as "partial 16S ribosomal RNA". It matches the Rfam family "Bacterial small subunit ribosomal RNA", at positions 29 to 507 of the family's 1533-position model. The record is from RNAcentral.
AUUGAACGCUGGCGGCAUGCCUUACACAUGCAAGUCGAACGGCAGCACGGGUGCUUGCACCUGGUGGCGAGUGGCGAACGGGUGAGUAAUACAUCGGAACAUGUCCUGUAGUGGGGGGUAGCCCGGUGAAAGCCGGAUUAAUACCGCCUACGAUAUACGGAUGAAAGCGGGGGACGUUCGGGCCUCGCGCUAUAGGGUUGGUCGAGGUGGGAUUAGCUAGUUGGUGGGGUAAAGGCCCACCAAGGCGACGAUCAGUAGCUGGUCGGAGAGGGCGAGCAGCGACACUGGAACUGAGACACGGUCCAGACUCCUACGGGAGGCAGAAGUGGGGAAUAGUGCACAAUGGGCGCAAGCCUGAUGCAGCAAUGCAGCGUGUAUGAAGAAGGCCUUCGGGUUGUAAAGUACUUUCAGCGGGGAGGAAGGGAGUAAAGUUAAUACCUUUGCUCAUGGACGUUACCCGCAGAAGAAGCACCGGCUAACUACGUG